AUGCUCACCUCAGCAGCAUAUAUACUAAAAAUUAGAAUACAGAGAAGAUUAGCAUGGCCCCUGCGCAAGGAUGAGAUGCAAAUUCGUGAAGUGUUCCAUAUUUUU
Molecule: small nuclear RNA, 105 nt
Organism: Cebus imitator (Panamanian white-faced capuchin)
Lineage: Eukaryota; Metazoa; Chordata; Mammalia; Primates; Cebidae
Source: RefSeq, a predicted model, not a curated record